Pipistrellus kuhlii (Kuhl's pipistrelle) is the source of this 215-nucleotide long non-coding RNA. RefSeq lists it as uncharacterized. The record is from RefSeq and is a predicted model, not a curated record. NCBI's taxonomy places the organism in Eukaryota, Metazoa, Chordata, Mammalia, Chiroptera, Vespertilionidae. The transcript has 3 exons.
UGCGUAGGAGACACCAGGUCAGCGGUGCUCAACCUGUGGGUCGCGAUCCCUUUGGGGAUCGAAGGACCCUUUCACAGGGAUCGCCUAAGACAUCCUGCAUAUCAGAUGUUACAUUACCAUUCAUAACAGUAGCAACAUUACAGCUAUGAAGCAGCAAUGGAAAUAAUUUUAUGGUUGGGGGUCACCACACAUGAGGAACUGUUUUUUAAGGGACA